Long non-coding RNA from Anolis carolinensis (green anole), 943 nucleotides. RefSeq lists it as uncharacterized. Lineage: Eukaryota; Metazoa; Chordata; Lepidosauria; Squamata; Anolidae. The transcript has 2 exons. The record is from RefSeq and is a predicted model, not a curated record.
GCCCAAGUUUGCCCAUGCCUCUUGUAGAGUCUCUGGAGUUUCUGGAGCACAACAACUACUUUCAAAAACUCUGGAUAAGGAAUGUUCCUGUGAUGCCUCAUGGGCCUUGUAGUCCCGUUCCUAGUGUCACUGUGGCAGAUGAGGAUGAAAACAUGGGGUUUUCUCCGGAUCAACAACAGCCGGACUCUUUCAAGAUGCCUGAUGUUGAUGUUCUUGCCCAAAAGCCAAUUAAAACCGACCUUGAACAGCUCUCACCUCCCUUCGCUAGGAGACAUUCCUUUACUGCAGACAGGGGAGUUAAAGAGCGGGUUCGCAGGAGUUUAAGAAUUGCUGCCAAACAAGACACUGAUUAGCCAUGUUUCCCCUGGGAAAAUCCAGAGAGUCUCACAUCUGCAAAGUUAGGUUUCGUUCCCUGUUCUCUAGGGAAAGAGGAUGCUGAACACCUGUUUGGCGGGAAAACGAGACCCCAAUAUAGGUGCCUGGCACGUUAGAAUUGUUGCGGAGUCAACUGAGCAGCUUCAGAAGCAACUUCGUGUUUCCAGCCUUGUGUGGACUUCGCAAAGUCCGCAACCCCAGUUCCUUGCUUCCCGGAUCAAGUAUUCAAGAUUUGUCUAGCCUUGAUUUUAGCCACGGACCUUGUUCUUAGAAUCUCCGUUUCGCCUUGUUCCUAGUCACGGACCUUGUUUAAUGAUUCAAGUUUGUUUCCAGCCUUGUUCUCAAGCUACCUUGGACUUCAAAGACUCUGGACAUUUUCCCCACACUUUUGCCUGGCAAUAGUGUGUGUUUCGGUUAUUGGAUAUAAAACUUUGAACUCUAAUAUCAAUUAUUGGGCAAUACAUUUUUGGACUUUAUUUGACCUCAUUUGAUAGGUCAGCUUCUGAACUAUAUUCUACACUUGUUUUUAUUACUUUUAUAUAUUUACUUAAUAAAGAUAUUAGAUAGA